UAGAUACCCUGGUAGUCCACGCCGUAAACGAUGUCGACUUGGAGGUUGUGCCCUUGAGGCGUGGCUUCCGGAGCUAACGCGUUAAGUCGACCGCCUGGGGAGUACGGCCGCAAGGUUAAAACUCAAAUGAAUUGACGGGGGCCCGCACAAGCGGUGGAGCAUGUGGUUUAAUUCGAUGCAACGCGAAGAACCUUACCUGGUCUUGACAUCCACGGAAGUUUUCAGAGAUGAGAAUGUGCCUUCGGGAACC
This 250-nucleotide ribosomal RNA is filed under the name uncultured bacterium. RNAcentral's name for it is "partial 16S ribosomal RNA". It matches the Rfam family "Bacterial small subunit ribosomal RNA", at positions 779 to 1028 of the family's 1533-position model. The record is from RNAcentral.